UAACUGUUUACACCCUCCAUCUUUAUAAAUAGAUAACCGAACAUUGUACAAAAUAAGUGUCAAUCAUGAACAAAACACACUUUAGUUUGUCUUUCAUUUUGCUUAUUCUCUUUUCUUCUCAGAUGAUGAUAGAAACAAAAGGAAGUAAAUGCAUUGAAGGUGAAUGCAAAAUCUUUUGUACGUUUAGAGGUUUUAUAGAUGGUAUAUGCUCACCAAGAACUAACCAAUGUCUCUGCGUGGUCCAUGAAAUGAGGAAUUGAGGAUACAACCUUAAUAAGUUAAUUAUAUUUAUGGUUCUUUAAUUGUUAGCUCUGAUUUUUGGCAUUCUUUUUGUUUAGUUUUUCGACUCAUUUUGUAUUGUUUAUCAGCUACCAUUUGCAUUGUACUUUAUUUUUCUGCUAUCUAUAUAAUUAUUUGUCUUUAAUUUA
Vicia villosa (hairy vetch) is the source of this 428-nucleotide long non-coding RNA. RefSeq lists it as uncharacterized. Lineage: Eukaryota; Viridiplantae; Streptophyta; Magnoliopsida; Fabales; Fabaceae. The record is from RefSeq and is a predicted model, not a curated record. The transcript is spliced from 2 exons.